Molecule: long non-coding RNA, 3101 nt
Organism: Megalobrama amblycephala (Wuchang bream)
Lineage: Eukaryota; Metazoa; Chordata; Actinopteri; Cypriniformes; Xenocyprididae
Exons: 3
Source: RefSeq, a predicted model, not a curated record
UUUCAUACUGUCCUUACUUCUGUAUCACGCUGCGUUGCCAUCUAGUGGCCAUUUCCGAUAUCAUAUUUCAAAGUAAAUUUAUUUUCAGGGUUUGACGCUUUAUUUAUUUACUUACUACUUAUUUACUUAAUUUAAGAUAUUAAAGUAAUAUUUUUGAUGGAUCACGAUCUGUAUAGGUUAAUAGUUAAGUUACAGUUGCAUUUAAGUGUACUUACAUUGACGAGUAGGAGGGUGGCAGUAGAGAGUUGUUACAGUUACGUAUUUAGUGUUCGUUCACAGCUAAAAACACACACAACACUUGAUCUACUGAUUUCUGAGAUACUACUAGUAAGUCUACUGGCUACCUCCAUUUAUUUUAUUACGGUUUUCUUUUAAUAUUGGUAGCUGUAGCUUUAUGUACAUGUCGUUAAAACUGUUUGGUGUUAUUUCACAGGCUUUAUUUUACAUUAGACUGAUAUCAGGAUAUGUAUCGACAGUUUCAUACAGUCCCGCUUCUGUCCACUAGAUGGCAGACAAUUACUUUCUCGCCAACGCCUAUCCAUCAGGAAGUCCGUGGUUGACUGUUGUUGGUUUUCUCUUUAUUUUAUCAAAAUCCUGACAGUCUCUCCCAUUACCUCUAAAACCACCUGUCCUCAAUGCAGAACUCAAUACUUCAUAAAUAUAUAUCUUAAUUGUAAAGCAAUAGUAGUGCUAUGUCCUGACGAAAGAGGCUAAUCACAUUCUUGUCAACAAACAUUUAUAAAAUCAAAUAAUAUCAAGGUCAACCUUCAAACGGAAGCUCCUCUUUUCAUGUUUGACCUUCUACGAGAUGUUAAAUCACAAAGUGCCACAGCGGGGCUCAGACAGUGCAGAGGGCACACAGCCGGUAACAAACUCCCCACACUGCUGUCAGCCCUGUGACAUGGGAACCACCAGGCCUGCGCUCAAUCACGUCUCAAACCGGCCAUCGCUUGCGGAGGUCCCAGAUACCAUAAAUUCCUCCGACCCCAGCCGCUGUGAGAACCAUGCGGGGAAAAAAACGAGACCAGAAUAGCCAAUAUGGCUCAGGACGUACAGCUACAGGCCAUAUGAAUGCAGUACGGCCAGUCCUUCAUGAGGAGAGCCUCACGGCUGGGACGAGGGGUGGCCGACAGCUGAGUGGAACACUUUCCCAUGUCGUCAGGGGUCGUGGGAUCAGCCCGCAGGCCGUGCGGCAGUUGCUUUGUCCACACAAGGAUGGCCUGUUUGUGACUGCCAAACUACGCAGAGGGAGUGAGAAAUACAGAGCAACUGAGAGAGAAUGAAAGAGAAAGAUGGAGGCUGCAUAUGCAGGUUUUUCUUUUAUUAUAUGAAGGUAACUUUAAAACAGUCUUGAAAACAUUUUACAAUCCGAUCUUUUUUGCCAUACUUUUAAUACUUUGAGCUUGAUUUUAUUGGUUUGCCCUCAUAAAAAGUAUAAAAAAAUCGGAAAAUUUGUACAAACACACACACACAUAAUUACAUUUUGAAUACAAUUUUUAAAACUAAGAUACAACUAAAAGUAUAACAAUAGUAUGGAGGAUGGAUGGAUAGAUAGAUAUAAUUACAUUUAUAAUUCUAAUAAUAUUAUAAAAAAAAAGUUUAAUAGUACUAUAAUUAAAAUAUAAUAAUUUUUUAAAACUCGGAUAACCUAAACAAAUAAUGAAAAUAAACACCAACCAUUUCAAUGUUUAUUGUAUUUUUACAAAAACUAUGAUUGUUCCUCAGUUGUCAUAUGUGGUGACCAAAAAUUUCUCCCCCCCCAAUUUUUUUUUUUUUUCAAAAAUGUUAUUUAACUGUGUUUAGGACAAAUAAAAGCUCAUUUAUUUAAAUGCUUAUUCCCAAAAAACAGAAACAAAAAAAGUUUUUAACAUCAUUUCCACCACAAUCAUUUCCAUGUGGUGCAAAUUACAUGGUGGUGGAAACCCCUCUAACCAAUUCUUGAUGGAUAACAUUUUUUUUUUUUGUUGUUGUUGCUGAAUAUCCUGUUUCACUCAUAAAUAUGUCAGAUUACAGUAAAAUGGGUUGCGACAGCCGUUUCAUCUUGACUUUAAAUCAUUGUAAAUCUGACCUUCCUCAUCUGACCUUCUUCAUCUCCAGUGUUAUGGCAACUUCUGGCAAGGUUAUUUACACUAAACCCAAACUUCAGGAGAACAUACUGUUAAAGUUUCAGGACCCAACAUUAGCCCACUCUGUCAUUUAUCUGUUAUUUCUCUCCCUUCCAAAAACAAAACAAAAAACAGUCUGUCUUUAAUUGUCAUUUUCUUUUAGGUGAUAUAUCUAGUUAUGAAACUCUAGAGGAUGCAAGCUGAUACUGCAAGGAAUCACAUUAUUACCGCAAGGCACAAGUUGAUUGGCCUCUGCUGAUCCUGCAGCCAAUGAGAUUGCUUGCUCAACAUUUAAAUUGUCUGGUUCAGUGUUUGCUGUAGGCUAGACCUGCAACCUGCUAUCAGAGUUCCUCUGAAACCCUCCACCUUCCCCAGCUCCACCUGUCAUGAUCUCCUACAGGAUUUAUGUAUGUCUAUUCAUACAGCAGCAGCAUAUCUUACAUGCUCACAGCAGUGUGUCUGUGUAUCUAUUAGCAGUAGCAAGUUCAUACUUGCUCUGCAACAGCAGAAAUAAUCAACAGCAGUAGCGUAGCAGAUCUAAGACCAAUUAUAUUAUCAUUGGUAUAUUCAAUAACAUGCUAAAACUAUUUUGAGAGUUGUCAUGAUUGAACUAACUUUCACCUUCAUAUCCUCACCUAUACCCUGAGUUCAUUCUUCAUGCAGCAGGUCUGGUCAUGAGGAAGGGUUAUUUUACCAGGUGCAGGAAGACAAACCUCCUCCAUUACAGGGCUCAUUUGACCACUCAAGCAACUCCACUGUGGGACCCACGGUCAUAAAUACCUCACUCUUGUGCUAAUAUAAUAAUAUAAGAAGGAAUAAGACCUUGCUGGUGAGAUUUCAAAUUGAUGAUGUUGGACAGAUCUUCAUAUGCAGCAUCCAGCUGAGGGACGAUUUAAGUUUGGAAAUAUUUAAUGCGUUCAUACCUUCCAAUUUUACUGAAAUUGGCAAAUGGUACAAACACCAGACAGAUAUUUACUGAUAUAAAACACACAUUUC